AGAGUUUGAUUAUGGCUCAGGAUGAACGCUGGCGGCGUGCCUAAUACAUGCAAGUGAAACGGGUAUCUUCGGAUACCAGUCGCGGACGGGUGAGUAAUACAUAGGCAACCUGCCUUUAUGAGGGGGAUAACCGAGGGAAACUUUGGCUAAUACCGCAUGAAGACUCUAAGGCAUCUUAGAGGGAUAAAAAGUUGGGAAACAACGCAUGAAGAUGGGCUUAUGGCGCAUUAGCUAGUUGGUGAGAUAGAAGCCCACCAAGGUAAUGAUGCGUAGCCGACCUGAGAGGGUGAACGGCCACAUUGGGACUGAGACACGGCCCAAACUCCUACGGGAGGCAGCAGUAGGGAAUUUUUUCCGGCAAUGGGGGGAACCCUGACCGAGCAACGCCGCGUGAAGGAUGAAGGUUUUCGGAUUGUAAACUUCUUUGAUUGGGGACGAUAAUGACGGUACCCAAAAAACAAGCCACGGCUAACUACGUGCCAGCCGCGGC
RNAcentral lists this ribosomal RNA (490 nucleotides) under uncultured bacterium. Its description in RNAcentral is "bacterial SSU rRNA". It matches the Rfam family "Bacterial small subunit ribosomal RNA", at positions 8 to 518 of the family's 1533-position model. The record is from RNAcentral.